AGCCUAAUGAAAUUUAUAUUAGGUUAGCUCUGCUCAAUGAAAAUUUAAAUAGCUGCAGUACUUUGACUGUGCAAAGGUAGCAUAAUAAAUUGGCUUUUGAUUGAAGUCUAGAAUAAAUGAGUACAUGGAUAUUUACUGUCUUACUAUAAUUAUUUAUAAUUUUUUUAUUAAGUGAAAAUACUUAAAGGGAUAUAAUAGACGAGAAGACCCUAGAAAUUUUUAAAAAAAAAUUUGUCAUUUUAAUUUUUUGUUGGGGCAACAUAACUACAAUAUUGAUAAAUAUUUAUUAUUUAUUGUUUAUAAGAAAGGUUUAUUUUGAUAAAUUAAAUUACUCUAGGGAUAACAGCGUAAUUUAUUAAUAAGUUUGCGACCUCGAUGUUGGAUUAGGGAUAAAUUAGAUUAGACAUUUAAAGAUCACGUUCUGUUCGAACACUUUUCCCUACAUG
RNAcentral lists this ribosomal RNA (446 nucleotides) under Caracolus sarcocheila. RNAcentral describes it as "partial 16S ribosomal RNA". Lineage: Eukaryota; Metazoa; Mollusca; Gastropoda; Stylommatophora; Solaropsidae. The record is from RNAcentral.